This 564-nucleotide ribosomal RNA is filed under the name uncultured bacterium. RNAcentral describes it as "partial 16S ribosomal RNA". It matches the Rfam family "Bacterial small subunit ribosomal RNA", at positions 355 to 914 of the family's 1533-position model. The record is from RNAcentral.
UGGGGAAUUUUGGACAAUGGGCGAAAGCCUGAUCCAGCAAUGCCGCGUGUGUGAAGAAGGCCUUCGGGUUGUAAAGCACUUUUGUCCGGAAAGAAAUCCUUGGCUCUAAUACAGUCGGGGGAUGACGGUACCGGAAGAAUAAGCACCGGCUAACUACGUGCCAGCAGCCGCGGUAAUACGUAGGGUGCAAGCGUUAAUCGGAAUUACUGGGCGUAAAGCGUGCGCAGGCGGUUUGCUAAGACCGAUGUGAAAUCCCCGGGCUCAACCUGGGAACUGCAUUGGUGACUGGCAGGCUAGAGUAUGGCAGAGGGGGGUAGAAUUCCACGUGUAGCAGUGAAAUGCGUAGAGAUGUGGAGGAAUACCGAUGGCGAAGGCAGCCCCCUGGCCAAUACUGACGCUCAUGCACGAAAGCGUGGGGAGCAAACAGGAUUAGAUACCCUGGUAGUCCACGCCCUAAACGAUGUCAACUAGUUGUUGGGGAUUCAUUUCCUUAGUAACGUAGCUAACGCGUGAAGUUGACCGCCUGGGGAGUACGUCGCAAGAUUAAAACUCAAAUGAAUUGAC